Regulatory RNA element from Firmicutes bacterium CAG:129, 113 nucleotides. It matches the Rfam family "TPP riboswitch aptamer (THI element)". From Rfam's summary of the family: Vitamin B(1) in its active form thiamin pyrophosphate (TPP) is an essential coenzyme that is synthesised by coupling of pyrimidine and thiazole moieties in bacteria. Lineage: Bacteria; Bacillati; Bacillota. The record is from Rfam.
GACAAUUCCAAGGGGCGCUGGCGCAAGCCGGCUGAGAUCGGGGCGUAACGCCGUCCCAGUCCCUCGAACCUGAUCCGGGUAAUGCCGGCGUAGGAAUGCGAAGGAUAUUGAUG